Molecule: ribosomal RNA, 484 nt
Filed under: Kocuria sp. EBKC25
Lineage: Bacteria; Bacillati; Actinomycetota; Actinomycetes; Micrococcales; Micrococcaceae
Description: bacterial SSU rRNA
Rfam family: Bacterial small subunit ribosomal RNA
Source: RNAcentral
CUGAUGCAGCGACGCCGCGUGAGGGAUGACGGCCUUCGGGUUGUAAACCUCUUUCAGUAGGGAAGAAGCGAGAGUGACGGUACCUGCAGAAGAAGCGCCGGCUAACUACGUGCCAGCAGCCGCGGUAAUACGUAGGGCGCAAGCGUUGUCCGGAAUUAUUGGGCGUAAAGAGCUCGUAGGCGGUUUGUCGCGUCUGCUGUGAAAGCCCGGGGCUCAACCCCGGGUCUGCAGUGGGUACGGGCAGACUAGAGUGCAGUAGGGGAGACUGGAAUUCCUGGUGUAGCGGUGAAAUGCGCAGAUAUCAGGAGGAACACCGAUGGCGAAGGCAGGUCUCUGGGCUGUUACUGACGCUGAGGAGCGAAAGCAUGGGGAGCGAACAGGAUUAGAUACCCUGGUAGUCCAUGCCGUAAACGUUGGGCACUAGGUGUGGGGGACAUUCCACGUUUUCCGCGCCGUAGCUAACGCAUUAAGUGCCCCGCCUGGG